CGCGGGAAAUCUUACCGGGUCCGGACACACUGAGGAUUGACAGGCACUAUACGAGAGUCUCUUCGACACUCGUAGCUAAAUAUGCUAGUCCUUUCAUGAUUAUGUGAUAGGUGGUGCAUGGCCGUUCUUAGUUCGUGGAGUGAUCUGUCUGCUUAAUUGCGUUUCGCUAAAGGGUCUUACAGCUGACAGCGUCUCACGUGCUCAGUGCCUUCAAAAACCACUGUGGCCGUUGGGUGCACCUAUUGUGAGCUUUCGACCCUGAAAGCAACGAACGUGACCGCAACCUCUUGUUGUGCUGAGCAUAGCACAAACUAGAGGGACCGCUGUUACUUUUCUUAAACCAGAGGAAGGUUGCGGCAAUAACAGGUCUGUGAUGCCCUUAGAUGUUCCGGGCUGCACACGUGCUACAAUGAUCAUUGCAGUGAGCAUCUCACACUCUACCGGAUAAUUCGUUAUCUCAACUGGUCUACCUGCGCUGUCAGUGCGUAUAUUCGCAUCUCGUCACUCGAGUGAGAGUUCUCUCACGAAAGUGUGUGGUGUGUCUGUGCAGUCUUACAUGUGCGGUGGCCUUAGCCUACCUCGAGACGUAUGCUUUGGGUAAUCAAUUACCAGUCAUGACUUCCAAUAUCACACACUGAUAUACGGCAUCGUUACCGCCAAGGCUCUUAUCUCAAGAGGCUAGUGCGUCUGUAUCUGAUGUUUUUUAACCGUAUGUGCGAUUGUCAAUUCAUGGUGGGAACAGACCAAUGUUAACUGUUGGUCUCGGUCGUAACUAGGAAUGCCUUGUACGGGUCCAGUUCAACAGACUACCCGGAAUACGUCCCUGCCCUUUGUUCACACCGCCCGUCGC
RNAcentral lists this ribosomal RNA (850 nucleotides) under Foraminiferan sp. X198. RNAcentral describes it as "bacterial SSU rRNA". It matches the Rfam family "Eukaryotic small subunit ribosomal RNA", at positions 1204 to 1679 of the family's 1831-position model. The record is from RNAcentral. Lineage: Eukaryota; Foraminifera.